UAGGGAAUCUUCCGCAAUGGGCGAAAGCCUGACGGAGCAACGCCGCGUGAGUGAUGAAGGUCUUCGGAUCGUAAAACUCUGUUAUUAGGGAAGAACAAAUGUGUAAGUAACUAUGCACGUCUUGACGGUACCUAAUCAGAAAGCCACGGCUAACUACGUGCCAGCAGCCGCGGUAAUACGUAGGUGGCAAGCGUUAUCCGGAAUUAUUGGGCGUAAAGCGCGCGUAGGCGGUUUUUUAUGUCUGAUGUGAAAGCCCACGGCUCAACCGUGGAGGGUCAUUGGAAACUGGAAAACUUGAGUGCAGAAGAGGAAAGUGGAAUUCCAUGGGUAGCGGUGAAAUGCGCAGAGAUAUGGAGGAACACCAGUGGCGAAGGCGACUUUCUGGUCUGUAACUGACGCUGAUGUGCGAAAGCGUGGGGAGCAAACAGG
RNAcentral lists this ribosomal RNA (429 nucleotides) under Actinomycetes bacterium. RNAcentral describes it as "Actinobacteria bacterium partial 16S ribosomal RNA". It matches the Rfam family "Bacterial small subunit ribosomal RNA", at positions 355 to 776 of the family's 1533-position model. The record is from RNAcentral. Lineage: Bacteria; Bacillati; Actinomycetota; Actinomycetes.